UACCCGCUGGAAUUAAGCAUAUCAAUAAGCGGAGGAAAAGAAACUAACAAGGAUUCCCCUAGUAACGGCGAGUGAAGAGGGAUCAGCCCAAAUUUGUAAUCUGGCUCUUUCAGAGUCUGAGUUGUAAUUUCAAGAACUGUUUUCUGCUCUGGACCAUGUACAAGUCUGUUGAAAUGCAGCAUCAUUGAGGGUGAGAAUCCUGUUUAUGAUAUGGACUACCAGUGCUCUAUGAUACAGUCUCUAAGAGUCGAGUUGUUUGGGAAUGCAGCUCAAAGUGGGUGGUAAAUUCCAUCUAAGGCUAAAUAUUGGUGAGAGACCGAUAGCAAACAAGUACCGUGAGGGAAAGAUGAAAAGAACUUUGGAAAGAGAGUUAACAGUACGUGAAAUUGUUAAAAGGGAAACAGUUGAAGUUAGACUUGUUGUUGUUGGUUCAGCUCUUUAAGGGUGUUUUCUGAUAAUUAACAAACCAACAUCAAUCUUUGGGUGUUGGAUAAGGGUCAUUGAAAUGUAGCAGUCUUGGCUGUGUUAUAGUCAUUGACUUGGAUACAAUGCCUAGGAUUGAGGAUUGCAGUAAGCCAUUUAUUUGGUGGGACAAUUUAUUGUUCUUCUUACUGAGGAUGUUGGUGCAAUAGCUUUAAUUGACCCGUCUUGAAACACGAA
Molecule: ribosomal RNA, 660 nt
Filed under: Gymnosporangium yamadae
Lineage: Eukaryota; Fungi; Basidiomycota; Pucciniomycetes; Pucciniales; Gymnosporangiaceae
Description: eukaryotic LSU rRNA
Rfam family: Eukaryotic large subunit ribosomal RNA
Source: RNAcentral